AUGAGUAGCUGGCACUUGCUUCUAUUAAAUAGACAGUCAAUUUGUAGUAUGCAUCAGUACCACAAAAAGCCUUUUAGGUUGCCUGUCAGUUUAAAUUAUUUCUAUAAUGGUGAUUGGAUAUUGUGGGCUUUGCCUGUCAUUUUAGCAUGCUACAGAUUUCUGCCUAAGGUGAUUAUCAGCUUGAAUUUGAGCAGAAGGCUAAAGCUGUUCUUGGAACUUACAACGGUGUUGUCUUUCCAAAUGAGAAAAGAUGACAAAGCUUUGUUUUAUUACAAUGUUACCUUUUACUAUGCCUGGUCAGAAACAAGCGAAUCCUCUCGAGUUUGUCGAGUUGUUUGCAGUGAUCAUCUGCCAUUUUCUAUUUGUAUAAUGUUUGAAGUUUGUAUGAAUGGAUUCAAUGAAAUUAUAGGUGUCAUACUACUUUGGUCGAGAUUAUGCUUCCAGAUAUUGAAGGAAAUAUGCCCUAGAGGCAAUAAUAAAGUUAUUAUUUAUUUCUUUAUAUCAUGA
Molecule: ribosomal RNA, 507 nt
Filed under: Triticum aestivum (bread wheat)
Lineage: Eukaryota; Viridiplantae; Streptophyta; Magnoliopsida; Poales; Poaceae
Description: partial small subunit ribosomal RNA
Source: RNAcentral